UAUAGAAUUUAUUCUAUUUUUCCCUCGUGUUUAUUUUCGUUCUCUCCCUCUCGCUCGUUGUUUUCAUUCUUUCUUCUUCAUCUUCCUAAACCCUAAUCAGGCACUCAACGAAAAGAAGCAUCGUAACCGACGAAGUCGCCUCACCGUCGUAGCUCACCGCCAUAGCUCGCUGCCUCUGGUUUCUAGGGCGCUGGCACAUCGUUUAUUCGCUUCAUUAUCCGCGGAUUUCAUAAUUCAGAUGUUCAACAUGGAUUGUGGUGUUUUCUGAAAUAGAAUUGGAGAAAUCUGUUGGAUUUGUGAUGUUCAACAUGUUUACUCAGUACAUUUUCAAUUUGUUGCCUUCAAGUUUCGUAGGACGUCAAAGAUGGGGUUUGAGCCAAGCUUCUUCGGUGCCUUAUUAAUGUACAUUUGCUCACUUAUUUUAAUCUCUACACAGCUUAUGUAUUCUUUCACCCAAAAAUGCCAAUGAGUGAUUGGUGGAGCUCAAAAAUUGAUAUUCCCGGUUAUUAUACUCUAAUUUGGCUACUAUUCUUUUAAGUUUCGUUAAUUUUCUAUAGAAUUCUGGAUAUACUUUAAAAUGUAAUAUUAAAAAAGUAUCACAUUAUCUAAUGGCUCUAUUUUGUUUCCUGUUUAGAAUUUUCCUUUGUUAUGUCUUCGUAUAUGCUUAUUGCAUCCCAGUAGUAUGUCCUUCAUUCAAUUCACCAAAUUACAAUACAUUCCAUAGUUUUGAGAACCAAAUAAUACUUCAUAUUAAAAAUUCUUAUAAAUACUCUGUUUCAAAUAGAAUUUUACUGUUAGUAAGUCAAGAUAUUUUCAUUGAUGAAUUUUACAUGUUGAUUUGGUCACCAUGUUGGAGAAAGUGAUUAGUUAUGUGAAGGUUCUUCAGUUGCAAGUAACCCAAAUAUCCCGUUUUUCAUUGGGUCUUGGCUAACCACUCAUCAGAGGUUCUUGAUUUUAACAAGUCAUCUACAUUUCAAGAUCUCUCAAAGCCUGUUGGAGCACUUGAUACAAAACGAUUUGAGGCUAGGGAUCCAAAUGCAGAUUUAGCACAUUUCUUUGAUGUGAUAGGAGGGAGUGGCACUGGUGCACUCAUAACAGCUUUGUUAGCCACACCAAGCCCUCAAGAUCCUACUCGUGCUACCUUUACUCCUACACAAAUUGUUGACUUCUACAAACAAAAUGGCCCGCAUGUAUUCAAUUCAUCUAGACAUGGAAAAGAUACGCAAUUCGACGGGGAGAUUUUACACAACAUAACUCGUGAACUGUUGAAGGACAAUUCGACAUCAAGAGACAAAAGCUAGUUAUAUUCUCAAACUACAAGGUUGAGAAGUAUCCCUACUUCAAUGCCUUGAUGUCUGAUAUAAGCAUAUCGGCUUCAGCAACACCCACUCUUCUUCCACCCUACUAUUUUCAGAAUGAUGGUGUUGACUUCAAUUUGAUUAGUGGUGCGGACUUGAGUAUGCUUAGUAAUGAUCUAGUAAAUGGGAAUCCGUUGUACCAUGAAUGUUCUCUUUUGAAGCUAUCAGCUAUUGCCGUGAGUUUGUUAGGAAUGACAAUGGUUUUUUCAGAAAGCUUAUCAC
This is a long non-coding RNA of Vigna unguiculata (cowpea), 1580 nucleotides long. NCBI's taxonomy places the organism in Eukaryota, Viridiplantae, Streptophyta, Magnoliopsida, Fabales, Fabaceae. The record is from RefSeq and is a predicted model, not a curated record.